AACGAACGCUGGCGGCAUGCCUAACACAUGCAAGUCGAACGAGACCUUCGGGUCUAGUGGCGCACGGGUGCGUAACGCGUGGGAACCUGCCCUUAGGUUCGGAAUAACUCCCCGAAAGGGGUGCUAAUACCGGAUAAUGUCUUCGGACCAAAGAUUUAUCGCCUUUGGAUGGGCCCGCGUUGGAUUAGCUAGUUGGUAGGGUAAAAGCCUACCAAGGCGACGAUCCAUAGCUGGUCUGAGAGGAUGAUCAGCCACACUGGGACUGAGACACGGCCCAGACUCCUACGGGAGGCAGCAGUGGGGAAUAUUGGACAAUGGGCGAAAGCCUGAUCCAGCAAUGCCGCGUGAGUGAUGAAGGCCUUAGGGUUGUAAAGCUCUUUUACCCGGGAUGAUAAUGACGGUACCGGGAGAAUAAGCACCGGCUAACUCCGUG
This 433-nucleotide ribosomal RNA is filed under the name uncultured bacterium. RNAcentral describes it as "partial 16S ribosomal RNA". It matches the Rfam family "Bacterial small subunit ribosomal RNA", at positions 29 to 507 of the family's 1533-position model. The record is from RNAcentral.